GUAUGGUCUAAGGUCUUUGGUGGCAUACGACAGAAACUCACACUGGCUACCUUAAGCAAAGCCAUUAGAGGGGCUGGCUAGAAUCAAGCUACACAGAAAGAACAGGAAUCACUCAGAGGGUACUCCCUGAGAGGCUGUCUCAUGCUCUUCAUCCUCCAAGCCUUCAUGCAAAAAGAGCAAGAAUCUGGCAAUCAUCAUAAAUUGCUUUCUCUGG
Molecule: long non-coding RNA, 214 nt
Filed under: Homo sapiens (human)
Lineage: Eukaryota; Metazoa; Chordata; Mammalia; Primates; Hominidae
Description: HSALNT0153907
Source: RNAcentral